RNAcentral lists this non-coding RNA (242 nucleotides) under unclassified sequences. RNAcentral describes it as "RT-2 RNA". It matches the Rfam family "RT-2 RNA". From Rfam's summary of the family: Coriobacteriales (Actinobacteria), Clostridiales (Firmicutes). Downstream gene The record is from Rfam by way of RNAcentral.
CUGGGUCACAUGGAGUAGCAGACUGGAUUCCUUCUGGUCAGGUGAAAGACGACCUUAGCAAAAGGAGAGAUACUUCCCUGGGUACCCAAUCCCUAAAACUGCCCUUUGAUGCCCCCGCACGGACGCUUCUUGCAUGGCGGGAGAUUGUGCCAGCUCCCGUUUCAUGUGCGUUGGGGCAACGCAGAUUUAGACGGCACCCUACAAGACAACUGUACGGAGGGCGAAUACUUUUUUAUGACCAG